RNAcentral lists this ribosomal RNA (610 nucleotides) under Pseudomonas paralactis. RNAcentral's name for it is "bacterial SSU rRNA". The record is from RNAcentral. Lineage: Bacteria; Pseudomonadati; Pseudomonadota; Gammaproteobacteria; Pseudomonadales; Pseudomonadaceae.
AGUCGAGCGGUAGRGAGAAGCUUGCUUCUCUUGAGAGCGGCGGACGGGUGAGUAAUGCCUAGGAAUCUGCCUGGUAGUGGGGGAUAACGUUCGGAAACGGACGCUAAUACCGCAUACGUCCUACGGGAGAAAGCAGGGGACCUUCGGGCCUUGCGCUAUCAGAUGAGCCUAGGUCGGAUUAGCUAGUUGGUGAGGUAAUGGCUCACCAAGGCGACGAUCCGUAACUGGUCUGAGAGGAUGAUCAGUCACACUGGAACUGAGACACGGUCCAGACUCCUACGGGAGGCAGCAGUGGGGAAUAUUGGACAAUGGGCGAAAGCCUGAUCCAGCCAUGCCGCGUGUGUGAAGAAGGUCUUCGGAUUGUAAAGCACUUUAAGUUGGGAGGAAGGGUUGUAGAUUAAUACUCUGCAAUUUUGACGUUACCGACAGAAUAAGCACCGGCUAACUCUGUGCCAGCAGCCGCGGUAAUACAGAGGGUGCAAGCGUUAAUCGGAAUUACUGGGCGUAAAGCGCGCGUAGGUGGUUUGUUAAGUUGGAUGUGAAAUCCCCGGGCUCAACCUGGGAACUGCAUUCAAAACUGACUGACUAGAGUAUGGUAGAGGGUGGUGGA